This 87-nucleotide transfer RNA is filed under the name Beta vulgaris subsp. vulgaris (sugar beet). It matches the Rfam family "tRNA". From Rfam's summary of the family: Transfer RNA (tRNA) molecules are approximately 80 nucleotides in length. The record is from Rfam by way of RNAcentral. Lineage: Eukaryota; Viridiplantae; Streptophyta; Magnoliopsida; Caryophyllales; Amaranthaceae.
GCCCGCGUAGCUCAAUCGGUAGAGCGUGGGACUCUUACAAAUUGGGAGUCAAUCACAAGGCUGCGGGUUCGAGCCCCGCCGUGGGUU